GCAAAAAUUCUUUAACACAUGAAUUUGUUCAUUCAAUUAUUCGACUUAGAAUGGAAAAAUAAUAUGGCAGCCAACUCAUAGAAAGUUUAAAGGCUAUAAAGCAGAAAGUAAAAAUUAUAUACUUCGAGCACGUCAGCAUGAAGCAGACAAGGCAGCCAUGAAAAGGAUGCAACAACAAAUGGAAGUAGACAAAAGCUCAUCAGAAUCGGAAAAUGACCUCAGAUGAAUGUUAUUAGAGCAUUACACAGUAGACCUUGAUGAAGUAGAGAAUUACAUAAAUCGUAAAGAGCACUGAGGUUUGACUGAUUUUUUGAAGUUUAUAAACAUGUAUUUGCUUCAGUGUAGUAAACUGUUUUUGAAACUUUCCUGUUUUUAUAAAUUUUUUUCUUAUCCAAAUGCUUUCAAAGUUCAAGCCUUUUUAAAUUUUCAAUUCAGGGAUGCAUCAGUCUGAAUAAUUGAGAAAAAGACUGCCCAAAUUGGAGAAAGUUUCUGUUGCAAAGCAGACUAUAAAACAACACCAUAAUUCACUUAUCAAAUUUUUCCUGAUCCUUUUUCAAAGAGUAGUUACAUUAAGAGAACUUGUUGAAAGACAACUGGUUACAUCUUACAACAAGAUAGAAAUAAUAUGGUAUGAGCAAUCUGGUUUCAAAUGGACCGGUCCCUAGUCAAAAUAGUUACCUAAAAGCACAAUACUGUUAAGAACUUUAUUGUCACAUUUCUUUUUUGUUACAUUCGCAAGAUCUAUUACUUAAAGCCAAUCAACUUGAUGACAGGCAGCUUAAAGUACACUUUUGGCUCAUUGUGAAGUGUACAUGUCAAUGAUAGGAAAACACUUUAAUCAACAUUUGUGAUAAUUUUGUGGUGUAGAUAUUGGUAUACUUUCUAGGAAAUUAAAGAGAAGAUCAUUGGGCUUCUUGGCAAUAAAUAAAGUUGCUGCCCUACGAACAAAAACUGGGGGCCCUAAAGAACAGGGUCGCCGUGCUUUUAAUUUGAAAAGGAGUAAAAACUUCAUUAUGCUCGACGACAUAAAAAAAAUUAUACAAAAUAAGACCAGGGAUGACGAUAUACGUAAAAUUAAUCAGAAAAGGCAAAGAAGGCAAAGAAAAGGCAAAGAAGGCAAAAAAAAGGCAAAGAAGGCAAAAAAAGGCAAAGAAGGCAAAAAAAAGGCAAAGAAGG
This is a non-coding RNA of Rhopilema esculentum, 1176 nucleotides long. NCBI's taxonomy places the organism in Eukaryota, Metazoa, Cnidaria, Scyphozoa, Rhizostomeae, Rhizostomatidae. The record is from RefSeq and is a predicted model, not a curated record.